RNAcentral lists this ribosomal RNA (253 nucleotides) under uncultured bacterium. Its description in RNAcentral is "partial 16S ribosomal RNA". It matches the Rfam family "Bacterial small subunit ribosomal RNA", at positions 524 to 776 of the family's 1533-position model. The record is from RNAcentral.
UACGUAGGGUGCAAGCGUUGUCCGGAAUUAUUGGGCGUAAAGAGCUCGUAGGCGGUCCAUCGCGUCGGGAGUGAAAACCUGGGGCUCAACCCCAGUCCUGCUUCCGAUACGGGUGGACUAGAGGUAUGCAGGGGAGAACGGAAUUCCUGGUGUAGCGGUGAAAUGCGCAGAUAUCAGGAGGAACACCGGUGGCGAAGGCGGUUCUCUGGGCAUUACCUGACGCUGAGGAGCGAAAGCGUGGGGAGCAAACAGG